GUGAACGCUGGCGGUAGGCCUCACACCUGCAAGUCGCACGGCAGCACAGUAAGAGCUUGCUCUUACGGGUGGCGAGUGGCGGACGGGUGAGGAAUACAUCGGAAUCUACUUUUUCGUGGGGGAUAACGUAGGGAAACUUACGCUAAUACCGCAUACGACCUACGGGUGAAAGCAGGGGAUCUUCGGACCUUGCGCGAUUGAAUGAGCCGAUGUCGGAUUAGCUAGUUGGCGGGGUAAAGGCCCACCAAGGCGACGAUCCGUAGCUGGUCUGAGAGGAUGAUCAGCCACACUGGAACUGAGACACGGUCCAGACUCCUACGGGAGGCAGCAGUGGGGAAUAUUGGACAAUGGGCGCAAGCCUGAUCCAGCCAUACCGCGUGGGUGAAGAAGGCCUUCGGGUUGUAAAGCCCUUUUGUUGGGAAAGAAAAGCAGCAGGUUAACACCCCGCUGUUCUGACGGUACCCAAAGAAUAAGCACCGGCUAACUUCGUG
This 491-nucleotide ribosomal RNA is filed under the name uncultured bacterium. Its description in RNAcentral is "partial 16S ribosomal RNA". It matches the Rfam family "Bacterial small subunit ribosomal RNA", at positions 29 to 507 of the family's 1533-position model. The record is from RNAcentral.